UAGAUGAACCUCGUUUGGUCUUUGUAUCAGGCACUAUCCCCAGUUCUCUGACCUCGGAGGAACUCUCACUGAUUAGGAUUCAGUACGGGGUUCCUCCAGAGUACGAGCUGGAGCUUCCCGGACCGACCGGCAGGGCUAGUGCUCCUCCUCCCGACUGUUUCUGUCUAUACCAAGAAGCUUUCAGCGCCGAACUUCGACUUUCGCUUUCCCCUUUUGUUAUUACUCUCUUCCG
This 232-nucleotide long non-coding RNA is filed under the name Elaeis guineensis (African oil palm). RNAcentral's name for it is "long non-coding RNA (EGUI_LNC049314)". Lineage: Eukaryota; Viridiplantae; Streptophyta; Magnoliopsida; Arecales; Arecaceae. The record is from RNAcentral.